RNAcentral lists this unclassified non-coding RNA (403 nucleotides) under soil metagenome. RNAcentral's name for it is "partial contains 5.8S ribosomal RNA, internal transcribed spacer 2, and large subunit ribosomal RNA". The stretch from base 1 to 121 matches the Rfam family "5.8S ribosomal RNA", at positions 35 to 154 of the family's 154-position model. The record is from RNAcentral.
GAUGAAGAACGCAGCGAAAUGCGAUAAGUAAUGUGAAUUGCAGAAUUCAGUGAAUCAUCGAAUCUUUGAACGCACCUUGCGCCCUUUGGCCAUUCCGAAGGGCAUGCCUGUUUGAGUAUCAUGAACACCUCAACUCUUCAUGGUUUUCCAUGAUGAGCUUGGACUUUGGGGGUCUUGCUGGCCUGUGGGUCGGCUCCUCUCAAAUGAAUCAGCUUGCCAGUGUUUGGUGGCAUCACGGGUGUGAUAACUAUCUACGCUUGUGGUUUCCCACCAGGUAACCUUCAGUGAUGGAGGUUCGCUGGGGCUCAUAAAUGUCCCUCCACAGUGAGGACAGCUUUUGAACGUUUGAUCUCAAAUCAGGUAGGACUACCCGCUGAACUUAAGCAUAUCAAUAAGCGGAGGA